UGGGGAAUUUUGGACAAUGGGCGCAAGCCUGAUCCAGCCAUUCCGCGUGCAGGAUGAAGGCCCUCGGGUUGUAAACUGCUUUUGUACGGAACGAAAAGGCCUGAGUUAAUACCUCGGGCUCAUGACGGUACCGUAAGAAUAAGCACCGGCUAACUACGUGCCAGCAGCCGCGGUAAUACGUAGGGUGCAAGCGUUAAUCGGAAUUACUGGGCGUAAAGCGUGCGCAGGCGGUGAUGUAAGACAGGUGUGAAAUCCCCGGGCUUAACCUGGGAACUGCAUUUGUGACUGCAUCGCUGGAGUGCGGCAGAGGGGGAUGGAAUUCCGCGUGUAGCAGUGAAAUGCGUAGAUAUGCGGAGGAACACCGAUGGCGAAGGCAAUCCCCUGGGCCUGCACUGACGCUCAUGCACGAAAGCGUGGGGAGCAAACA
Molecule: ribosomal RNA, 427 nt
Filed under: uncultured Ramlibacter sp.
Lineage: Bacteria; Pseudomonadati; Pseudomonadota; Betaproteobacteria; Burkholderiales; Comamonadaceae
Description: bacterial SSU rRNA
Rfam family: Bacterial small subunit ribosomal RNA
Source: RNAcentral